AAGUCGUAACAAGGUCUCCGUUGGUGAACCAGCGGAGGGAUCAUUACGAGUAGAGUUUACGAACUCUUAAACCCUUUGUGAACCUUACCUAUCGUCAGUUGCUUCGGCGGGAGGCCCCUGGGAGGGGCCCCGGGGCCCGGCCUGAGCCGGGCUCCCGCCGGAGGAGCGCAAACCAAACUCUUGCUGUACCUCAGUGGAACAUCCGAGUUAAAAAAUAAAAAACAAGUUAAAACUUUCAACAACGGAUCUCUUGGUUCUG
Molecule: unclassified non-coding RNA, 259 nt
Filed under: air metagenome
Description: partial contains small subunit ribosomal RNA, internal transcribed spacer 1, and 5.8S ribosomal RNA
Rfam family: Eukaryotic small subunit ribosomal RNA (bases 1-46)
Source: RNAcentral